This 257-nucleotide ribosomal RNA is filed under the name uncultured bacterium. Its description in RNAcentral is "partial 16S ribosomal RNA". It matches the Rfam family "Bacterial small subunit ribosomal RNA", at positions 524 to 776 of the family's 1533-position model. The record is from RNAcentral.
UACAGAGGUCCCAAGCGUUGUUCGGAUUCACUGGGCGUAAAGGGUGCGUAGGUGGCCAGGUAAGUUCGGUGUGAAAGCUCGGAGCUCAACUCCGAAAUGUCAUUGAAUACUAUCUGGCUUUAUUGAGGGUCGGAGGGGAGACUGGAAUUCUCGGUGUAGCGGUGAAAUGCGUAGAUAUCGAGAGGAACACCUGCGGCGAAGGCGGGUUGCUGGGCUGACACUGACGCUGAAGUGCGAAAGCUAGGGGAGCGAACGGG